ACGCACGCUGGCGGCGUGCUUAACACAUGCAAGUCGAACGGAAAGGCCCCUUUGGGGGUACUCGAGUGGCGAACGGGUGAAUAACACGUGAGUAACCUGCCCUUGACUUCGGGAUAACUUCAGGAAACUGGGGCUAAUACCGGAUAGGAAUCCUUGCUGCAUGGUGGGGGUUGGAAAGCUUCGGCGGUUUUGGAUGGACUCGCGGCUUAUCAGCUUGUUGGUGGGGUAGUGGCUUACCAAGGCUUUGACGGGUAGCCGGCCUGAGAGGGCGACCGGCCACAUUGGGACUGAGAUACGGCCCAGACUCCUACGGGAGGCAGCAGUGGGGAAUAUUGCACAAUGGGCGGAAGCCUGAUGCAGCAACGCCGCGUGCGGGAUGACGGCCUUCGGGUUGUAAACCGCUUUCAGCAGGGGCGAAGCUUGUGGUGACGGUACCUGCAGAAGAAGCACCGGCUAACUACGUG
This 464-nucleotide ribosomal RNA is filed under the name uncultured bacterium. Its description in RNAcentral is "partial 16S ribosomal RNA". It matches the Rfam family "Bacterial small subunit ribosomal RNA", at positions 29 to 507 of the family's 1533-position model. The record is from RNAcentral.